AACGAACGCUGGCGGCAUGCCUAACACAUGCAAGUCGAACGAGACCUUCGGGUCUAGUGGCGCACGGGUGCGUAACGCGUGGGAACCUGCCCUUAGGUUCGGAAUAACUCCCCGAAAGGGGUGCUAAUACCGGAUAAUGUCUUCGGACCAAAGAUUUAUCGCCUUUGGAUGGGCCCGCGUUGGAUUAGCUAGUUGGUAGGGUAAAAGCCUACCAAGGCGACGAUCCAUAGCUGGUCGGAGAGGAUGAUCAGCCACACUGGGACUGAGACACGGCCCAGACUCCUGCGGGAGGCAGCAGUGGGGACUAUUGGACAAUGGGCGAAAGCCUGAUCCAGCACUGCCGCGUGAGUGAUGAAGGCCUUAGGGUUGUAAAGCUCUUUUACCCGGGAUGAUAAUGACAGUACCGGGAGAAUAAGCUCCGGCUAACUCCGU
Molecule: ribosomal RNA, 432 nt
Filed under: uncultured bacterium
Lineage: Bacteria
Description: partial 16S ribosomal RNA
Rfam family: Bacterial small subunit ribosomal RNA
Source: RNAcentral